AGAGAGCCAAGGAGAGAAGGGCCAGGGAGGACACAGCUGGCUGGCUGCCUGAGGCCCCAGGGUCCUUCCUGGCUCCCUGUCCAGGCUCCACCCACAGUCACAGCAAUGCCUGGAACCUUCUAGGACAGCCAGAUCCUGACCUACCAGUAUGGGAUCCCCACCUCUCUCCGGAACACAGGCCAGCAGUGGGACUUCCCUAAUGGCUGGGCCCCUCUCCAGGACCUGGUCAUCAGAGGCUUGGCCAAGUCAUCUUCACCUCGGACCCAGGAAGUGGCUUUCCAGCUGGCCCAGAAUUGGAUUCGAACCAACUUUGACGUCUACUCACAAAAGUCAGCCAUGUAUGAGAAGUACGACAUCAGCAAUGGACAGCCGGGCAGUGGAGGGGAGUAUGAAGUUCAGUACCGGGAUUGAACUCAGAACCUUGUGCUUGUGAGGCAGGUUAAUUUUUACCAGCUGUUCCUCAGACAAAGGUCUACUAUCUAAAAUAUAUAAAGAACUAAAAAAAAAUCAUACGCUCCAAAUAUAAAGACCCAGUUCAAAAAUGGGCAUCUGAAAUGAACAGACGUUUCUCAAAGAAGUAAAAGCAGCAAAUAAAUAUAUGAAAAAAUGUUCAACGUCACUGGUCAUUCAAGAGAUGCAGAUGAAAACAACACUGAGAUUCCAUCUCACCCCAGUAAGAAUGGCUGCUAUCAAGAAAUCAACCAAUAACAAAUGCUGGCAGGGUUUUGGGGGAAAAAGGAACCCUGCUCCACUGCUGGUGGGAGUGCAGACUGGUGCAACCACUGUGGAAAUCAGUGUGGAGAUACCUCAAAGAACUAGGACUAGAGGUCCCAUUUGACCCCGCUAUUCCUCUGCUGGGUAUCUUCCCAAAAGAAGUCAAAGAAUGAUACCACAGUGAUAUAUGCUCACCCAUGUUUAUAGCAGCAGAGUUUGUAAUAGCUAAAACUUGGAAACAGCCCAAGUGCACAUCAACUGGAGACUGGAUAAACAAGAUGUGGUUUUUUUAAUAAAAUGGAGUACUUACUACUUGCCCAUAAAGAAUGAGAAACUAGAGACAUUUAUAGAUAAAUGGAUGCAUAUUGAGGCCAUACUCUUAAGUGAAAUAAAUAGGACACACAUGUGUAAAUACCGAAUAGUUUCUCUGGUGUGAAAAACUAAAAGUGUAAAUAAGGAUCAAAAUGUAUAAUUGAUAUUGUGAAAUAGGAAGAAAACAUCUAAAGGAGUAAGGGAAGUGGGAGGGGUAGGGAAAAGGAAAGAAGGGAAAAGAAAAAAUAUGAGAAAAGGAAAAAAAUGGAAACAAAGUCUUUGUAAAUAAGG
Molecule: long non-coding RNA, 1317 nt
Filed under: Heterocephalus glaber (naked mole-rat)
Lineage: Eukaryota; Metazoa; Chordata; Mammalia; Rodentia; Bathyergidae
Description: lncRNA (ENSHGLG00100047669.1)
Source: RNAcentral